This 478-nucleotide ribosomal RNA is filed under the name uncultured bacterium. Its description in RNAcentral is "partial 16S ribosomal RNA". It matches the Rfam family "Bacterial small subunit ribosomal RNA", at positions 28 to 506 of the family's 1533-position model. The record is from RNAcentral.
GAUGAACGCUAGCGGUAGGCCUAACACAUGCAAGCCGAGCGGUAUUGUUUCUUCGGAAAUGCGAGAGCGGCGUACGGGUGCGUAACACGUGUGCAACCUGCCUUUAUCUGGGGGAUAGCCUUUCGAAAGGAAGAUUAAUACUCCAUAAUAUAUUGAACGGCAUCGUUUAAUAUUGAAAGCUCCGGCGGAUAGAGAUGGGCACGCGCAAGAUUAGCUAGUUGGUGAGGUAACGGCUCACCAAGGCGAUGAUCUUUAGGGGGCCUGAGAGGGUGAUCCCCCACACUGGUACUGAGACACGGACCAGACUCCUACGGGAGGCAGCAGUGAGGAAUAUUGGUCAAUGGGUGCAAGCCUGAACCAGCCAUCCCGCGUGAAGGACGACUGCCCUAUGGGUUGUAAACUUCUUUUGUAUAGGGAUAAACCUACCCUCGUGAGGGUAGCUGAAGGUACUAUACGAAUAAGCACCGGCUAACUCCGU